UUCCUACGGGGGGCAGCAGUGGGGAAUAUUGGGCAAUGGGCGCAAGCCUGACCCAGCAACGCCGCGUGAAGGAAGAAGGCUUUCGGGUUGUAAACUUCUUUUAAGGGGGAAGAGCAGAAGACGGUACCCCUUGAAUAAGCCACGGCUAACUACGUGCCAGCAGCCGCGGUAAUACGUAGGUGGCAAGCGUUGUCCGGAUUUACUGGGUGUAAAGGGCGUGCAGCCGGGACUGCAAGUCAGAUGUUAAAUCCGCGGGCUUAACCCGCGAACUGCAUUUGAAACUGCGGAUCUUGAGUACCGGAGAG
This 305-nucleotide ribosomal RNA is filed under the name uncultured bacterium. Its description in RNAcentral is "bacterial SSU rRNA". It matches the Rfam family "Bacterial small subunit ribosomal RNA", at positions 336 to 656 of the family's 1533-position model. The record is from RNAcentral.